This is a small nuclear RNA of Raphanus sativus (radish), 100 nucleotides long. NCBI's taxonomy places the organism in Eukaryota, Viridiplantae, Streptophyta, Magnoliopsida, Brassicales, Brassicaceae. The record is from RefSeq and is a predicted model, not a curated record.
UUCUUCGUCCUUUUGGGGAAAUCCGAUAACAUUAGAAAGAUACAGAAAAUAUUAACAUGAUCCAUGCACCAGGAUGACACGAGAAAUUGUCUAAAUUUUU